GGCCUAACACAUGCAAGUCGAACGUGAUCCAGGCUUCGGCCUGGUGAAAGUGGCAGACGGGUGAGUAACGCGUGGGAACCUGCCCUGUGGUAGGGAAUAACCGUGGAAAACUGCGGCUAAUACCCUAUGAGUCCUUCGGGAGAAAGAUUUAUCGCCAUAGGAGGGGCCCGCGUCGGAUUAGGUAGUUGGUGGGGUAACGGCCUACCAAGCCUUCGAUCCGUAGCUGGUCUGAGAGGAUGAUCAGCCACACUGGGACUGAGAUACGGCCCAGACUCCUACGGGAGGCAGCAGUGGGAAAUAUUGGACAAUGGGGGCAACCCUGAUCCAGCAAUGCCGCGUGGAUGAUGAAGGCCUUCGGGUUGUAAAGUCCUUUCGGCGGGGAAGAUGAUGACGGUACCCGCAGAAGAAGCCCCGGCUAACUUCGUGCCAGCAGCCGCGGUAAUACGAAGGGGGCUAGCGUUGUUCGGAAUUACUGGACGUAAAGGGCGCGUAGGCUGUGCUGUAAGUCAGGCGUGAAAGCCCCGGGCUCAACCUGGGAAUUGCGCUUGAUACUGCGGCGCUGGAAGGUGGGAGAGGAUGGCGGAAUUCCCAGUGUAGAGGUGAAAUUCGUAGAUAUUGGGAAGAACACCGGUGGCGAAGGCGGCCAUCUGGCCCACAUUUGACGCUGAGGCGCGAAAGCGUGGGGAGCAAACAGGAUUAGAUACCCUGGUAGUCCACGCUGUAAACGAUGAGUGCUAGACGUCGGGGAGCUUGCUCUUCGGUGUCGCCGCUAACGCAUUAAGCACUCCGCCUGGGGAGUACGGUCGCAAGAUUAAAACUCAAAGGAAUUGA
RNAcentral lists this ribosomal RNA (831 nucleotides) under uncultured Alphaproteobacteria bacterium. RNAcentral's name for it is "bacterial SSU rRNA". It matches the Rfam family "Bacterial small subunit ribosomal RNA", at positions 45 to 913 of the family's 1533-position model. Lineage: Bacteria; Pseudomonadati; Pseudomonadota; Alphaproteobacteria. The record is from RNAcentral.